RNAcentral lists this ribosomal RNA (1255 nucleotides) under uncultured fungus. RNAcentral's name for it is "eukaryotic LSU rRNA". The stretch from base 612 to 1255 matches the Rfam family "Eukaryotic large subunit ribosomal RNA", at positions 1 to 649 of the family's 3401-position model. Lineage: Eukaryota; Fungi. The record is from RNAcentral.
AAGUCGUAACAAGGUUUCCGUAGGUGAACCUGCGGAAGGAUCAUUAUAGAUUCGCCGGAUGUGCUGGCGUGUAAUAACCGCGCAUGUGCACUCCGUUAACCUCUCAUACCCCUGUGCACUUCGGACGCGCGACCCUCGAGGUCGUGGCGUAUCUUUACAAAACCUUACGAACACACGUAAUUGAAGCGUCGAUACAAUAAACUGUACAACCAUCAGCAACGGAUCUCUUGGCAUCUCAAUCGAUGAAGAACGUAGCGAAUUGCGAUAAGUAAUGUGAAUUGCAGAAUUCAGUGAAUCAUCGAAUCUUUGAACGCACCUUGCACCCUCUGGCAUUCCGGAGGGUAUACUCGGUUGAGUGUUUUGAAUAUCUCAAUCUCUAGGUUUCUAUAUGGCCCUCGAGUGUAUGUGACCUCGCUCAUUUGGAGCGUGGUCUGUCCUCGUGGGUGAUUCCUUGAGACUUGGAUUUGAGCUUUGUCGGCUUCAGUCGACCGGCUUGAAAUGCAUUAGCUGGACCAGUUGUGGCCUUCGCCUCGGUGUGAUAAGUCUUGAUCGCCGUAAGGAGUCACGCCUCGGACCGCUUCUAAUCGUCUCUAGACAACACUCUGAUCUUUACACCUCAACUCGAGUAGGACUACCCGCUGAACUUAAGCAUAUCACUAAGCGGAGGAAAAGAAACUAACAAGGAUUCCCCUAGUAACGGCGAGUGAAGCGGGAAGAGCCCAAAUUUGAAAUCUGGCGGUCUACGGCCGUCCGAGUUGUAAAUUAGAGAAGCGUUUUCUGUGCCGGACCCAUCAUAAGUCACCUUGAAUGGUGCUCCACAGAGGGUGAAAGUCCCGUGCUUUGAUGGGAACCACCGGUGCCAUGUGAUGCGCUCUCGACGAGUCGAGUAGUUUGUGAAUGCUGCUCUAAAUGGGAGGUAAAUUCCUUCUAAGGCUAAAUAUCUUGGGAUGACCGAUAGCGAACAAGUACCGUGAGGGAAAGAUGAAAAGAACUUUGGAAAGAGAGUUAAACAGUACGUGAAAUUGCUGGUGGGGAAACGCUUGAAGUCAGUCACGUCUUCUGGGAUUCAGCCUUGCUUCUGUGAGGUGCACUUUCCGGUCGACGGGCCAGCGUUCAUUUCGACCGUCGGAAAAGAGCAGAUUGAAUGUGGCAGCCUCGGCUGUGUUUAUAGCCUUCUGUUGUACGCCUCGGUCGGGAUGGAUCCAACGGCAUGCUUUCUGUGGUGCCUGUGCUGGCGUAAUGGCUUUAAACGACC